Molecule: long non-coding RNA, 658 nt
Filed under: Marmota monax (woodchuck)
Lineage: Eukaryota; Metazoa; Chordata; Mammalia; Rodentia; Sciuridae
Source: RNAcentral
GCCUAAUCCCCUGGAACCUCUUUCUACACUACGACAGGAAAAUUUAUUAUGCAGGCUGGGUAUUAUUAAUAACUGUGCUAUUCUAUCUCCUGGUGAAAUUACUGAUAUACCUCUUGGAGAACUAGCUAUAAUUUUUAUUUCACCUACAUAAUCGGGAUCAAUUACCCCAGGACUUAUCAUAAGUCCUUUUAGUGUAGAAGAACUGCGUCCCAAUAAUAAGCCUACUGUUCCUUGGGGAAGAGGUCCUUUUACUCCUGUGGGAAUGAUUUGAACUCCCAUCUCUGGAGUUAGUACUGCUCUGGCAGAGGCGCAGAUGUCCAACCCUGCGCUCCCUCUGGUUUGUCUGAUGAGGGAUUUAAUGGACAAUGUGUCCUGGGCACUACCCUGAUGGUGUUGCUGGGUUCCUCCACUGCCCCGUAUAUUUGUGGUUGUGGGCCCCGGAGCAUUGGGCCCCCCAGUCCGUUUUUUGGCAAUGGAGCCUGAUGCCUUUCUCCACGAUAUCGUGGGUAAAUACCUGGUCCUUGUCCGUUUUUUGAUAAGGGAGUACCCUCUAUGGUGGUUUGAGAACGGCAUUCAUUAGCCCAAUGUCUCCCUCUACGGCAUCGUGGGCAAAUACCCGGUAUUCUAUUCCUUUGAUACCUAGUUUUGUUAAACCCUU